GUGAGGAAUAUUGGACAAUGGGCGCAAGCCUGAUCCAGCCAUGCCGCGUGCAGGAAGACGCAUCUAUGGUGUGUAAACUGCUUUUGUACGGGAAGAAACACUCCCUCGUGAGGGAGCUUGACGGUACCGUAAGAAUAAGGAUCGGCUAACUCCGUGCCAGCAGCCGCGGUAAUACGGAGGAUCCAAGCGUUAUCCGGAAUCAUUGGGUUUAAAGGGUCCGUAGGCGGUUUAAUAAGUCAGUGGUGAAAGCCCAUCGCUCAACGAUGGAACGGCCAUUGAUACUGUUAGACUUGAAUUACAAUGAAGUAACUAGAAUAUGUAGUGUAGCGGUGAAAUGCUUAGAUAUUACAUGGAAUACCAAUUGCGAAGGCAGGUUACUACUUGUGGAUUGACGCUGAUGGACGAAAGCGUGGGGAGCGAACAGGAUUAGAAACCCGAGUAGUCC
RNAcentral lists this ribosomal RNA (445 nucleotides) under uncultured bacterium. RNAcentral describes it as "partial 16S ribosomal RNA". It matches the Rfam family "Bacterial small subunit ribosomal RNA", at positions 354 to 796 of the family's 1533-position model. The record is from RNAcentral.